RNAcentral lists this long non-coding RNA (247 nucleotides) under Prunus persica (peach). RNAcentral describes it as "long non-coding RNA (PPER_LNC004852)". Lineage: Eukaryota; Viridiplantae; Streptophyta; Magnoliopsida; Rosales; Rosaceae. The record is from RNAcentral.
AAACAUGUCACAAUUCCAUCCCCAUAAGGAUUAUUGACAACGUUACAUGAAAUUGCACUAGUGUAAAAAAAUCUCUCAACCAUUCGAUACACUUGCCUUCUCUCUCCCUUUUUGUAUGUGGAAUUCAACGUUGUUUGGCGAGCCUCGGAUGAGAUAUACUUGUUAAGCGGUCCUAUAGGACUAGGGGGUGGAGCAAUUGAAUGUGGUAUACUCCCACUACCACACACACUCUGACUUCCAACACCAC